CCUACGGGUGGCAGCAGUGAGGAAUAUUGGUCAAUGGGCGCGAGCCUGAACCAGCCAAGUCGCGUGAGGGAUGACGGUCCUACGGGUCGUAAACUUCUUUUAUAAAGGAAUAAAGUGUGGGACGUGUCCUAUUUUGUAUGUACCUUAUGAAUAAGGAUCGGCUAACUCCGUGCCAGCAGCCGCGGUAAUACGGAGGAUCCGAGCGUUAUCCGGAUUUAUUGGGUUUAAAGGGUGCGUAGGCGGCCUGUUAAGUCAGUUGUGAAAGUUUGUGGCUCAACCGUAGAAUUGCCGUUGAAACUGGGGGUCUUGAGUAUGGUUGAGGCAGGCGGAAUGCGUGGUGUAGCGGUGAAAUGCUUAGAUAUCACGAAGAACCCCGAUUGCGAAGGCAGCCUGCUAAGCCAUGACUGACGCUGAUGCACGAAAGUGUGGGUAUCAAACAGGAUUAGAUACCCCAGUAGUC
Molecule: ribosomal RNA, 460 nt
Filed under: uncultured bacterium
Lineage: Bacteria
Description: partial 16S ribosomal RNA
Rfam family: Bacterial small subunit ribosomal RNA
Source: RNAcentral